UUCCGCUCACAACUCAACACACUCGGCAACUUCUUAUUAGCGACGCAUCUACAUCGUCAUCUCGAGUUAUGCGGAUUGAUUGGUUCUUUGUAGUAUUUUGAUUUUCUUUAUGCUUUGAAUUUCAGGUGGCGAUUCGUUUCGAUUUGGGUUUCUCUUAUUAAGCUAAUUGUUCAUAAACGCUAGAGAGUCAGAGAGGAAUUUACUCGAACGAUUUACGGUUAAUCUGCGGCGUCGGAUCAGGCAACACAAUGGUGAAAUUGGGAGUGGAGCUUGGAGAACUAAGAGCAAGCGUCCUUGGGAGAUGGUUUUAUGUAUGUAUGGGUUCCCAACGAAUGUGGCUGCUCUUCAUGUUUUAAUAGAAUUCUGCUUUCUAUGUAUUAUGAGGUUGAAUGGGCUUGGCAACACCCUAUUGAAUCAUUGGCUGUAACAAAGCAUGCUGCGAACAGUGUGAACAGAAAGUAGCAGCUGGUACCAUGUAGUUGAUUAUGCCAAUUGCAACAUAAAACAGGUUCAUGUGGUUGUUGUGGCUACUCCAGGACGCAUGAUAGACCAUUUACCCAAUUCUAUGUCGGUGAAUUUGGAUGAUCUUGCUGUUUUGAUCCUUGAUGAAGCUGAUCGUCUAUUGCAGCUUGGAUUUGAUGCUGAAAUUAAAGAACUUGUUCGCGUAUGUCCCAGAAAAAAGCAGACCAUGCUUUUUUCGGCAACCAUGCCCGAUGAGGUUGCAGAUCUUAUUAAACUUUCCCUACCAAAACCAUUGUGUCUUUGUGUUGAUCCAUCUGCAAAACGGCCAGCAGCCUUGGCUGAAGAGUAAUAUCUUCAGUUCCCUUCGCAUUCUCUAAUCCAAUCAUUCAUCUUCCAUGGAUUUAUAUUUUGUAUGCUAUGAAAUUUAGUUGUAUGUUGUAUGAAAAAUGUCAAAGUCACAAAUUAAAGUGGUAAGAACUUAAAGGCUGUUUUAGAUUUUUAAAUUAAUGAAGAGUAUUUCUUAUGAA
Vicia villosa (hairy vetch) is the source of this 989-nucleotide long non-coding RNA. RefSeq lists it as uncharacterized. The record is from RefSeq and is a predicted model, not a curated record. The transcript is spliced from 5 exons. Lineage: Eukaryota; Viridiplantae; Streptophyta; Magnoliopsida; Fabales; Fabaceae.